RNAcentral lists this ribosomal RNA (254 nucleotides) under uncultured bacterium. RNAcentral's name for it is "partial 16S ribosomal RNA". It matches the Rfam family "Bacterial small subunit ribosomal RNA", at positions 524 to 776 of the family's 1533-position model. The record is from RNAcentral.
UACGGGGGGAGCAAGCGUUGUUCGGAUUUACUGGGCGUAAAGGGCGCGUAGGCGGUCGUGACAAGUCACUUGUGAAAUCUCCGGGCUUAACUCGGAACGGUCAAGUGAUACUGUCGGACUAGAGUACAGAAGGGGCAACUGGAAUUCUCGGUGUGGCGGUGAAAUGCGUAGAUAUCGAGAGGAACACCGAUGGCGAAGGCAGGUCUCUGGGCCGAUACUGACGCUGAGGAGCGAAAGCGUGGGGAGCGAACAGG